This 73-nucleotide transfer RNA is filed under the name Ailuropoda melanoleuca (giant panda). It matches the Rfam family "tRNA". From Rfam's summary of the family: Transfer RNA (tRNA) molecules are approximately 80 nucleotides in length. Their secondary structure includes four short double-helical elements and three loops (D, anti-codon, and T loops). The record is from Rfam by way of RNAcentral. Lineage: Eukaryota; Metazoa; Chordata; Mammalia; Carnivora; Ursidae.
GCCUGGCUGGCUCAGUCUGUAGAGCGUGCGACUCUUGGUCUCACGGUCAUGAGUUCGAGUCCCAUGUUAGGGA